This 553-nucleotide ribosomal RNA is filed under the name uncultured bacterium. Its description in RNAcentral is "bacterial SSU rRNA". It matches the Rfam family "Bacterial small subunit ribosomal RNA", at positions 41 to 571 of the family's 1533-position model. The record is from RNAcentral.
GGCAUGCCUAACACAUGCAAGUCGAACGGUAACAGGACGCUAGGAUCCCUUCGGGGUGACUUUGUCGCUGACGAGUGGCGGACGGGUGAGUAAUACAUAGGAAUCUACCCAGUAGUGGGGGAUAACUUGGAGAAAUCCAUGCUAAUACCGCAUAUGCCCUACGGGGCAAAGCAGGGGACCCUCGGGCCUUGCGCUAUUGGAUGAGCCUAUGUCGGAUUAGUUAGUUGGUAGGGUAAUGGCCUACCAAGGCAACGAUCCGUAGCUGGUCUGAGAGGAUGAUCAGCCACACUGGGACUGAGACACGGCCCAGACUCCUACGGGAGGCAGCAGUGGGGAAUAUUGCACAAUGGGCGCAAGCCUGAUGCAGCAAUGCCGCGUGUGUGAAGAAGGCCUGCGGGUUGUAAAGCACUUUUAUUGGGAAAGAAAAACCCGGAGCUAAUACCUCCGGCAUUGACGGUACCCAAAGAAUAAGCACCGGCUAACUCAGUGCCAGCAGCCGCGGUAAUACGGAGGGUGCAAGCGUUGUUCGGAAUUACUGGGCGUAAAGGGCGCG